GGGUCUGUAGCUCAGGUGGUUAGAGCACCGUCUUGAUAAGGCGGGGGUCGUAGGUUCAAGUCCUACCAGACCCA
Molecule: transfer RNA, 74 nt
Organism: Cupriavidus basilensis
Lineage: Bacteria; Pseudomonadati; Pseudomonadota; Betaproteobacteria; Burkholderiales; Burkholderiaceae
Rfam family: tRNA
About the family: Transfer RNA (tRNA) molecules are approximately 80 nucleotides in length.
Source: Rfam